RNAcentral lists this ribosomal RNA (253 nucleotides) under uncultured bacterium. Its description in RNAcentral is "partial 16S ribosomal RNA". It matches the Rfam family "Bacterial small subunit ribosomal RNA", at positions 524 to 776 of the family's 1533-position model. The record is from RNAcentral.
UACGUAGGGUCCGAGCGUUGUCCGGAAUUACUGGGCGUAAAGCGCACGUAGGCGGCUUUGUAAGUUAGAGGUGAAAGCCCGGGGCUCAACUCCGGAACUGCCUUUAAGACUGCAUCGCUUGAAUCCAGGAGAGGUGAGUGGAAUUCCGAGUGUAGAGGUGAAAUUCGUAGAUAUUCGGAAGAACACCAGUGGCGAAGGCGGCUCACUGGACUGGUAUUGACGCUGAGGUGCGAAAGCUAGGGGAGCAAACGGG